UACGUAGGGGGCAAGCGUUAUCCGGAUUUACUGGGUGUAAGGGAGCGCAGACGGAACUGCAAGUCUGAUGUGAAAGCACGGGGCUCAACCGCGGGACUGCAUCGGAUACUGUAGAUCUGGAGUGCCGGAGGGGCAAGCGGAAUUCCUGGUGUAGCGGUGAAAUGCGUAGAUAUCAGGAGGAACACCGGCGGCGAAGGCGGCUUGCUGGACGGCAACUGACGUUGAGGCUCGAAAGCGUGGGGAGCAAACAGGAUUAGAUA
RNAcentral lists this ribosomal RNA (260 nucleotides) under uncultured prokaryote. Its description in RNAcentral is "partial 16S ribosomal RNA". It matches the Rfam family "Bacterial small subunit ribosomal RNA", at positions 524 to 784 of the family's 1533-position model. The record is from RNAcentral.